UGGAUCCCAUCACCUCCACGACACUCAAUCCAGAUACCGAAAAUAAUGACGCAUAAGGGUUCAUAGAGUUUCUUCUUUUCCUUAUUCCUACGCUGUGUUCGAACUUCAGAAUCCGAAGAAACAGAGCUCAUAUUAUGUAAUUAGGGUUCAAUACAUACGUAUAUACAUAUAUAUCUUAUCAUCACACUCGCUCACACUCCAAAACCCUUGGAAAGUUCUACAAAUUCUGGGGUUUUUCAUCAGAUUCGAGAAAUUUCUUCUCUUCAAACCUCCACAACUCUAUUUUCGAUUUGAUGGCCUCUUCUGAGGCUUAGUUGAUGAAUGUGCUUUGUGCAAACAAGGUUCUGUAUGCAAAACUCUACCAUUGGAUUUUAUUGAUUUGCUAGUUUGAGUCUGGCCACUUGAGAUGUAUGGUCAGGGUAAUUAUGCACCUCCGUUUGGGCAGGGCCCCCAUGCACCCACGCCUUCCUUCCAACAGCGACCUCUGGCUCCUCCACCUCCUCCCUUCCAGCAAGGCCCUCCAGCUCCCCAACCUUCUACAAUUCAACAAGGUCCUCCAUCUAUUCCACCUAAUGUAGGUCAGCUUGCCCCACCUGCAUAUCAGAAUGCCCCACCUGCCCCACUUCAGCAAGGCCCUUCUGCUCAAGGUCUGCCAAGUGCAAUGUUGAACGCAGGUCAAUCUUACUUACCUCCGCCCCCACCUCUGCCCUCACACAUCCAUGGAAGCACCUCAAUGGCACAUUCUUACCCAGCUUCUCAUCAGAACACCCCAUGGACCCACAAUGUACAUCAUAUGCCGCCGGUCGCUCCUCUUGGUCGGCCUCCAGGGGGCCCAAGUCACCCAGAAAUGUUCCAACCCCCACCCCCUCCUAGAGUAUUACCUCCUUUUCUUUCACAAGGACACACAAUGUAUAGAGGUCAAGUUCCCCCACCACAACCUGGUGGUGUGCAGGCCACUCAACAUAUCCCACCACCUCCUCUGCCUCCGACUUCUAGUUUCUUCACUCCAGCUUCAUUUGAAACCUUUGUACAUUCAGCACAUCAAGAUUCUUAUAUGCCAGCCUCUGGUCCCCCUCCACCACCGCCUCCUCCACCCUCUUCUCCUCCACCUCCUCCACCUUCUCCACCACCGCCUUCCUCUCCCCGUCCUUGUUCUGGGACUUUGUCUUCUACACCUUCCCUUAUUGCUUUUGACUUGCCCUAUCAUUCCGAGUAUCGUCCAAGUUCCAGUGAACAUUCUGGCUUUGAAGUGAAGGCUUCAAAUUCUUUUGAUAAACUCUUAGACUCCCAUCAGACCAGGGGUUCACCUACAUGUGAUGGCAAUAGGGAUCCUGAAGGUCGGAGUAGCUCUGAAGUGAGUUUGCUUGUGGAUGAUGGCUUAUCAUCAGUUGUAAGUGCUAAAUGGGAUCUUCCUCCACCCCCAUCCAAGCCGGCAGAGGAAAAAAUUGUUCAAAGAAUUGAAGAUCUAUGUCAGUCUAUUGCAAAGAAUGGUCCUGGUUUUGAAGAUAUGGUUCGUCAAAAGGAGGUUGGCAACCCGGAGUUUGAAUUUUUGUAUGGUGGUGAGCCAGGCAGUAGAGCAGCAGUUGCAUAUGAAUACUUUGUAUGGAUGAAAAGGGGAUCUAGUUUGGCAUGUAAAUCACUUGAAGAGCAUGAUAAAAGUGAUUCAGCACUGAGGCUUUCAGAAAUUGGUACUUCAAUGCAACCUGAUAGUUUGAUGGAUGCAGGUCUAUCUCAGUCACCUUCCUUUUCUGACAUGGAUGUCGAAGAUGAUAUCACCCAGCUUGAUGAAGAACGGCAGGGUUAUAACUCAGUUAAAGGUGUGAACUUGAAUAGUGAUUCGAUACCUACUGAGCUUGAUAUGAAAGUGCAGUUAUAUGCUGUACCAGCAGCAAAUAAUGCUUCAGAACAUAUUCCAUCCAAGGAUGCGAUAGAUGACAAUUUUCCUUGUGGAUCCCCAAGAAUAUCAGAAGGAUAUAUACCGUUUCCCAAUCAUGAUCACUCUUCCUCUGCGCGUUUUCUUAGCAAAGCUGAUACAACAGUCAAAAAUUUAUCUGGAGCUGUUGAGUGCAACUUGAACAACAAUGUAGACAACUCUUCUAUUACCUCCCAACCAGAUUUGGGCCAAUCCAAUGCCUCAGCAUCUGCUGCUGACAUACGUUCUGAUAAGUUUCCUGGUGAACUAAUUGAAGGCACUAGCCCUUUCAGACUUCUACAGGACUAUGCUUCUGAUGAAAGUGCAGAAAACAAUGAUGAGCCUCGUCUUCAAGAUGUUAGCCCUGUAACAGCCUCACCAUCAACUACAGAUGUAGGUACAAGUUUGGAUGGAGAUAUGGUUUCUAAUUUCCAGACUGAUAUAGGAUCAAAGAAUCUGUCAACUUCUGAAGUUGGGUUUGGAACAUUCUCCGAAUCUGUUGUUGCAUGUUCUCUAAGUAUGCCUUCUAAAGCUCUGGAAUUUUCCUUGGAAUCACGAAGGACUUCCAAGGAAAGUGAUAUAACAUCUAUUGCAAUUGGAAGAACUGAGGGACAUGACAACUACAGAAAUCAGGAAUCUGUUCACAAUGCUGCUUCUCAAGAGGCUUUUCAAGGAAAAGAUGCAUUGGGAUGUGUUGAUGCUGCAGCUAAAAGUGGCAAGUAUCGGAAGGAAGAUGUGAAGCAUACGCCUACUCCAUUAAAAGUUGAUGAGUUUGGGAGAUUGGUUCGAGAAGGUGUUAGCGACAGUGAUUCUGAUGAUUCACACUAUAAAGGAAGGCGUGUUAAGAGAGGCAAAAGUAGGAGCCGAAGCCGAUCUCCUCAUGAUGCUAGGAGGAGGAGGAGUUCAUGGAGAAGGAAGGAGAAGCGAAGCCAAUCUCGCAGUUGGUCUCCGAAGAAACGAAGAAGCAGGAGCAGAUCUCCCACUUUAAGGCGUGGUGUUGACUUUGGUGGUGACAGAAUGAGACGGGACAACAAGGGCCAGAUUCCAGCUUGCUUUGACUUUCUUCGGGGCAGAUGCUACCGUGGAGCAUCAUGUAGGUAUCUGCACAGUUAUUCUGACAAGAGUGAUGGAUCAAGGAACUAUAGGAGCAAACAUCAGCAUGUGGAUGUUCCACCUAGUUCUAGGAGUUUGGAUUUGCAUGAAGAGAUUGAGAAUAUCCCUUUCAAAAAAUCAGUUCAUGAGCAGGAUGCAAUCAAGAGCCAAGAAACACAACCCUUUCAGGACAUACCUGAAGACAUUUUUGGUGCUUUAAAGGAGGGGGGCAGUGAUGGGAAAGAAGAUACAAUAUCUGUAAGGAAUGCUGUGCAGCCUGUAAUUACUGACAGAGAGAGUAUAUCAUUGGUUACUGAUGUGGCUGAAUCUGAGAGAUCUACAACUCAAGUGCAGGAAACUCAAGGCAUUAAAGAAGAGCUCGUGGAACCUACAAUUAACCUUCCUGACAGUGUUGCGGGUCCAAAAGGAGUGGAAGUGUUACAGCCGAUUGAUAGAAUUCCCGAUUGUUCAGUAGCUGAAGUCAAUGCCCCAAAGUCUCCUGGUGAUACUUCUCAUGGAAUACCUUCCACUGACAGUUUGUCGGUUCCAAAAUCACAAGCUAAUCUGUCUACUCAGGUGCUUCAAAAUGUUGACCACCAACCUCAGCAGAGUUCUUCUGCCUCUGAUUUGUCACCCAUUCAGACAUCAACAUCCUUCCUGAAUCAGCUACCCAGCAGUGGACCUCUUACAGAUAAAAUCUCUUCAAUUCAGUCAUUCCCCGGUACGGGUUCUACAAACCAGCCAUAUUCCUCUGAAGGUUUUUCAUCUCAAUCUUUGCCUCCGAAGGAGAUAACCUCACCCAUUUUUCCUACUGCGGGUUUUCCACAUUAUUAUUCACAGUUACCACCUCCCCUUCCUUCACUUUCACAAGGCACAAAUAUGCCACCAGCGCCACAGCUGUCAGGAGAUUACAACUUAAUGCCAUUAGCUGCAAAAUUUCCACCUCAUUCUGCUUCUGUGGAAAAAUUUUCUCCCUAUCAAGGUCCAAUGUCCAACCAACAUUCUCACUUCUCUGUAGCACCAAAUGCCUCUUGGACCUCCCUGCCGCCCCCGCCACCACGACCUCCAUACAUUAAUGAAUCAACUCUAAAUGCAACAACUGGCAUGACUAAUGUUACUUCAUUAAAUUUCCAACCUAAUCAGCUACCUCCAAGAAAUGAUUUCUCUUUGCAGACAGUUAUGAGGCCCUACCCAACUGAAGUGCCUGCAUAUUCUCAAGUUGUUGACUAUCCACAUCGAAUCCACUCUCCAAGGCAGGAGCCUAAUCGUCCCCCUUUCCACAUGGAAAAUAUUAGACCGACAACUCUCCCUGCGGGCAACCCAAUGAGUCAACCAUUUGGGGGACCCAAUCAUGUUGGGGAAGAUCGCUUCACAAGGCUUCCGGUACAGGGGUUAGUCUCUUCAAAUCCAUCGACUCAGGGUAACAUGGCCACUCAACAUGUGCCUUUUUUCAGGGAACCAGCAGGAAGGCGAAUGCAAUCUUUCCCUGGUGACAAUUUGCGCCCUGGUGAGCUUUUUAUGUCGCCUUCUGACAAUCCUUACCUACAGCAGCAACAGCCGUUGUACAGUCUUCAAUGUCCUGCAGCUGAUAGUGUUUCUGGACACCCGGACGAGCCUGGGAAGAGUGAUUCUACCAUGUCAAGGCACACAUCAGAUAUUCUGGACAGGAAUCAUCCGUCCCACCUGUCCAACUUUGGAGGAUCAAGAAUUUCAAACUACUACAAUCCUUAUGCAUCUACUUUUGACCAGCCACUAAGUUCUAAAUUCAGCUCAAAUAUUUUCAAGCACGAAAAAGACAUACCACACAGUUUUAAACAUGAUACUUCUUUCAGUUUGAGCCAUGAUCCUGUUGAUGGGCAAGGUAUUGGAAGUCUUAGCUCUAGGCAUACGACAUCCUCUCCAAAUCCUGCCCGGGCUGUGGAGCAUGUUUUGCCUAGAUUAGGUGGUGAGCAGUAUGAUCCCCUAUUUGACAGCAUUGAGCCAUCUUCAAACUCAUUCAGGAAAUUUGAUCAUGGUAAAAAGCGUGAACCCACCAAUGACUCUGAUGUCAUGUUAAGGCUGAGCGGCACAUAUAAGCCAUUGGAUGUGGAAGAAAACAACAAGCAGAAAGACGUUGUUGCUGUAACUACAUCUCUGGAAAAUGAUAAUGAUGAAUUUGGUGAAACAGCAGAUGCAGAAGUGGGUGCUGUGGAGAAUGGAAGCCCAAGCACUCCUCUUGAUGUAAUGAAUACAGCUGCAGGAGAGAUUGAGAUUGAUCAGAUUAAGACGCCAGGGAAGAGCAGGAAGGGCAAGGAUUCCAGAUCAAUGAAACUUUUCAAAGGUGCCCUUGCAGAUUUUGUGAAGGAGGUGUUAAAGCCAUCUUGGCGACAGGGUAAUAUGAGUAAGGAGGCUUUUAAGACCAUUGUCAAGAAGACUGUUGAUAAGGUGGCUGGAGCUAUGAAGAGCCACCAAAUACCCAAGUCUCAGGCAAAGAUAAAUCAUUACAUUGAUUCAUCGCAGCGUAAACUGACUAAACUUGUGAUGGGCUAUGUUGAUAAAUAUGUCAAAGUAUAAAAGUUGGCAUUCACUGUGUUUCCAGCAGGUAGCAAAUUUGGUUAGACCCCUGAAAAACUAGUAUGCUUCCACUUUUAGAAACUUAAGCUAUGAGGAGGGGAACUUGCAGCUCUUGUUGGGAAAAAAAAGAGAGUGCAUGCUGCUGUUUGUAAUGUUAGUACCUGUUAGAAUGCUAGUACACCCAUGAGCGAUGGCGUUAGGGCCCAUAAGAAGAUGAACUUAUUGAUAGAAGAUAAUAUAAAUUCCAGCCUCAGCAAAGUUCUGAGGAAGCUCCAAAACUUGCAACGAGAUGUUGAAGUCCUUUGGAUUAAGUGGUCUCGGAUUCAGCAGGAAGUUUUCAGUUGUCAAUGAGUGAGUCAUGGUAAAUUUGAACUAUCUUUUUCCAUAUUUUGGCACUUUGCAUUACUAAGUGAUUCAGGUAAGAUCUUGUGAUUGAUGGAAGGUGAGAAUUUUCUCCUCAUUUUAAGAUUUAAGACAGCAGACUUCAUACUGUCCCCCCACCCAACCCCAACAUUUUCUCCUUUUAUAUAUUCGUAAAUGUUAGUACAUCUGGGAGAAAGAGAUAGGGGGUAUCUAACACUCCCUUCGGUUGGAACAAAGCUUUAGGUAGCGAAGUUGUUCGCAAUCAAGAUCAGAGGAUGAGGGACAAAAUGUUUACCUCGUGUAGUGCUGAAGCUUGUGGUCUUCAGGAUAUUUUAUAUUUUUUGUUCUGGAAAGUUAAAUGACUGAUCUAUCUUAUCAGGUCUUGUGUGGCUUUGUAUAAUUGGUAUUGUUAUGCUCAAGAUUCAGCAAGUGUUCCAGUAAUUUGACUUGGAUUUUUCAAAAUUUUGGGCAUUAUUUCUUCAGUAAUUAAGAAAAUGUGCGUGGUCCCUUUGUGUUUGUGUGCGAACUUA
RNA transcript from Cornus florida, 6450 nucleotides. RefSeq lists it as uncharacterized. The transcript has 8 exons. NCBI's taxonomy places the organism in Eukaryota, Viridiplantae, Streptophyta, Magnoliopsida, Cornales, Cornaceae. The record is from RefSeq and is a predicted model, not a curated record.